This 148-nucleotide ribosomal RNA is filed under the name uncultured Chlorobiaceae bacterium. Its description in RNAcentral is "partial 16S ribosomal RNA". It matches the Rfam family "Bacterial small subunit ribosomal RNA", at positions 337 to 485 of the family's 1533-position model. The record is from RNAcentral. Lineage: Bacteria; Pseudomonadati; Chlorobiota; Chlorobiia; Chlorobiales; Chlorobiaceae.
UCCUACGGGAGGCAGCAGUGAGGAAUAUUGCGCAAUGGGCGAAAGCCUGACGCAGCAACGCCGCGUGGAUGAUGAAGUUCUUCGGAAUGUAAAAUCCUUUUGCAGAGGAAGAAUAUCCCGAUUUAUCGGGACUGACGGUACUCUGCGA